Molecule: ribosomal RNA, 442 nt
Filed under: uncultured bacterium
Lineage: Bacteria
Description: partial 16S ribosomal RNA
Rfam family: Bacterial small subunit ribosomal RNA
Source: RNAcentral
CCUACGGGUGGCAGCAGUGGGGAAUAUUGGGCAAUGGGCGCAAGCCUGACCCAGCAACGCCGCGUGAAGGAAGAAGGCUUUCGGGUUGUAAACUUCUUUUGUCAGGGAAGAGUAGAAGACGGUACCUGACGAAUAAGCCACGGCUAACUACGUGCCAGCAGCCGCGGUAAUACGUAGGUGGCAAGCGUUGUCCGGAUUUACUGGGUGUAAAGGGCGUGUAGCCGGGUUGACAAGUCAGAUGUGAAAUCCGGCGGCUUAACCGCAGAACUGCAUUUGAAACUGUUGAUCUUGAGUACUGGAGAGGCAGAUGGAAUUCCUAGUGUAGCGGUGAAAUGCGUAGAUAUUAGGAGGAACACCAGUGGCGAAGGCGGUCUGCUGGACAGCAACUGACGGUGAGGCGCGAAAGCGUGGGGAGCAAACAGGAUUAGAUACCCCAGUAGUC